This is a long non-coding RNA of Beta vulgaris subsp. vulgaris (sugar beet), 944 nucleotides long. RefSeq lists it as uncharacterized. Lineage: Eukaryota; Viridiplantae; Streptophyta; Magnoliopsida; Caryophyllales; Amaranthaceae. The transcript is spliced from 4 exons. The record is from RefSeq and is a predicted model, not a curated record.
CAAGAAUAAAUGGCUAUUGCAACCAACCUUAACGACCGUACGGAAAUCUGGUCGUAAAAAGUAACCAAUUAAGACGAGAUUUGCAACCCGUCGUAGAUAUUAAGGUUAUUUUGCGACGGGUCUUAAAUUUGGUUGUAAACUUCAAAACCUGGUCGUAAAAAGUGUGAAAAUUGUGCGAAAAAACUUGAGCGGGAGCUUUCCCGGUUUCUAAAUUCUUUAGCGUCCAUAUAAUUACUAAUUACAACGGGACCAACUGUUGCAAAAGACUAUUAAAUUUAAGAAAAAUAUCAUUAAUUGUUAAUCCCCAAAAAUUAAAAAAACCUUCACUUCAAAAAACAAAAACAACCUACGCUAUUGUACGUAUUACUCGCUGUUCCAUUGCGGUUCUUCACUGCGCAACUCCGAUCUCUGUUCAUCCGAAUUGUCGAAUUUCUGGUUUCAGGGGCGAAUUCUCGAAUUUCUGGGCGAAUUCCUCCAUUGGCGCCCUAAUUUGCGAAUUUCUGGGCGAAUUUCUGGGCGAAUUUCAGGGCGAAUUAUCGAAUUUCUGGGCGAAUUCCUCCAUUGGGAGAUGCUUUUGUUCGCCUAAUUUUCAUAGCUUCAGGGGAAUUAGGUAGUAUACCAACAAUUGGGGUUUAUGUCGUGAUCCUUUGUGUUGUCUCCUCUUCUGCGUGUUUGACAACAAUCUUGCACACUGCCCAUAGUCCUAACAUAUUGGAAAGAAUACAAUGGCCCCUUGUAAGGAGUGGAUGAAACUUUCUCGAGAUGAUCGUUUGAAUGUUGCAUAUGAAAUAGGCGUUGACAACUUUUUAAAAUAUGCAUCUGAAAAGUCGGGAGGAAUAGAAAAGAUUAAAUGUCCUUGCGUAAAAUGCUUAAAUGCAUCAUUUGGAUCUCUAAAUAUGGUCAAAGAUCACUUAUUAACUUAUGGAAUCAUAGAGGGUUAUACA